AUUGAACGCUGGCGGCAUGCCUUACACAUGCAAGUCGAACGGCAGCACGGGUGAUUUCACCUGUUGGCGAGUGGCGGGCGGGUGAGUAAUAAAUCGGAACGUGUCCUGUAGUGGGGGAUAGCCCGGCGAAAGACGGGUUAAUACCGAAUACGAAAUACGGAUGAACGAAGGGGGGGUACGUACGGGCCGCUUGAGGUUGGGCGGGUGGCGAUGGGAUUAGCUAGUGGGUGGGGUAACGGCCUACCGAGGCGACGAUCAGUAGCUGGUCUGAGAGGACGACCAGCCACACUGGGACUGAGACACGGCCCAGACUCCUACGGGAGGCAGCAGUGGGGAAUUUUGGACAAUGGGCGAAAGCCUGAUCCAGCAAUGCCGCGUGUGUGAAGAAGGCCUUCGGGUUGUAAAGCACUUUUGUCCGGAAAGAAAGCCUUGGCUCUAAUACAGUCGGUGGAUGACGUUACCGGAAGAAUAAGCACCGGCUAACUACGUG
Molecule: ribosomal RNA, 490 nt
Filed under: uncultured bacterium
Lineage: Bacteria
Description: partial 16S ribosomal RNA
Rfam family: Bacterial small subunit ribosomal RNA
Source: RNAcentral